UGGGGAAUAUUGCACAAUGGGGGAAACCCUGAUGCAGCGACGCCGCGUGAGCGAAGAAGGCCUUCGGGUCGUAAAGCUCUUUUAUAUGGGAAGAUAAUGACGGUACCAUAAGAAAAAGCCCCGGCUAACUACGUGCCAGCAGCCGCGGUAAUACGUAGGGGGCUAGCGUUGUCCGGAAUCACUGGGCGUAAAGGGUUCGCAGGCGGCAAUGCAAGUCAGAUGUAAAAGGCAAAGGCUCAACCUUUGUAAGCAUCUGAAACUGUAUAGCUUGAGAAGUGUAGAGGCAAGUGGAAUUUUUAGUGUAGCGGUGAAAUGCGUAGAUAUUAAAAAGAAUACCGGUGGCGAAGGCGACUUACUGGGCUCAUUCUGACGCUGAGGAACGAAAGCGUGGGUAGCAAACAGG
RNAcentral lists this ribosomal RNA (403 nucleotides) under Verrucomicrobiota bacterium. Its description in RNAcentral is "Verrucomicrobia bacterium partial 16S ribosomal RNA". It matches the Rfam family "Bacterial small subunit ribosomal RNA", at positions 355 to 776 of the family's 1533-position model. The record is from RNAcentral. Lineage: Bacteria; Pseudomonadati; Verrucomicrobiota.